This 400-nucleotide ribosomal RNA is filed under the name uncultured bacterium. RNAcentral describes it as "bacterial SSU rRNA". It matches the Rfam family "Bacterial small subunit ribosomal RNA", at positions 359 to 776 of the family's 1533-position model. The record is from RNAcentral.
GAAUAUUGGACAAUGGGCGCAAGCCUGAUCCAGCCAUGCCGCGUGAGUGAAGAAGGCCUUAGGGUUGUAAAUCUCUUUCGGCGGGGAAGAUAAUGACGGUACCCGCAGAAGAAGCCCCGGCUAACUCCGUGCCAGCAGCCGCGGUAAUACGGAGGGGGCUAGCGUUGUUCGGAAUUACUGGGCGUAAAGGGCACGUAGGCUGGCUGUUAAGUCGGGGGUGAAAUCCUGAGGCUCAACCUCAGAAUUGCCUCCGAUACUGGCGGUCUCGAGUGCGGGAGAGGUGAGUGGAAUUCCCAGUGUAGAGGUGAAAUUCGUAGAUAUUGGGAAGAACACCAGUGGCGAAGGCGGCUCACUGGCCCGCAACUGACGCUGAGGUGCGAAAGCGUGGGGAGCAAACAGG